RNAcentral lists this ribosomal RNA (971 nucleotides) under Pritha cf. pallida 417. RNAcentral's name for it is "eukaryotic LSU rRNA". It matches the Rfam family "Eukaryotic large subunit ribosomal RNA", at positions 126 to 862 of the family's 3401-position model. Lineage: Eukaryota; Metazoa; Arthropoda; Arachnida; Araneae; Filistatidae. The record is from RNAcentral.
GUCCCUCGGGGCGUUUGGAAAAUGUGGCGUUUAGGAGGGAGCGUGCCGAAGGGCGACCGUGCAGCAAGUCCCCCUGACCGGGGCUGUAACCCAGAGCGGGUGCGAGGCCCAUAGCUGCUAGGUUACCUUCGGAUGCGACCUCUCGGGAGUCGGGUUGCUUGGGAGUGCAACCCUAAUCGGGUGGUAAACUCCACCUAAGACUAAAUACGACCGUGAGACCGAUAGCAAACAAGUACCGUGAGGGAAAGUUGCAAAGAACUUUGAAGAGAGAGUUCAAGAGUACGUGAAACUGCUCAGAGGCAAACGGGUGGGCCCUCGAAAUCCUGUGGCGGGGGGAUUCAGUCAGGAAGGGCGGAGGCGCCUGUCGGCUUGAACGGACCCUCUCGGGGCCGGGUCGACGGCACGGUCUCCACUUGGCCUGACGCAUUUCCUCCCGCACGAAGGACGCCGCAACCGGUUGGGUAGCUGCGAGAGUCGGCCUUAAGGGCGAGCGCCGGCAGGUGGCCGGUGACGUGGCUUCGCGUCGCCGGUUGUUAGCCAGCUCGCUCGUGGCGCGACACCCGACCGAGGUCUAACAGCCCCUUUAGGGGCUUCGCCGUGCCCCACGUGGCGGGAGACGACAAGCGUGCUCCGAAGUCGUCGAGUCACUCUCGUAGUGGCCGGCGCUCCGGGCGCCGUGAUGGGCGUCAGCGGCUAGCGGCGAGUAGGUCGGUCACCCACCCGACCCGUCUUGAAACACGGACCAAGGAGUCUAACAUGUGCGCGAGUCAUUGGGUCUUGCUUAGGCCCAGAGGCGCAAUGAAAGUAAAGGCCGUCCCGAAGUCGGCUGUGUCGGGACUCUUCGUCCUCCGGGGCGGAGAAGCACCGACGACCCGUCCUAUCCGAUUCAUCGGUUGGGCGGAGUCUGAGCGUACACGUUGGGACCCGAAAGAUGGUGAACUAUGCCUGGGCAGGACGAAGCCAGAGGAAAC